RNAcentral lists this transfer RNA (96 nucleotides) under Altererythrobacter sp. RNAcentral describes it as "tRNA-Thr". The record is from RNAcentral. Lineage: Bacteria; Pseudomonadati; Pseudomonadota; Alphaproteobacteria; Sphingomonadales; Erythrobacteraceae.
GCACUCUUAAGCAGAAGAUAUCGAACAUGACUUCUGUCUGAUGCCCCUUCUUUCGUAAUGAUGGGGUCACGUGUUCGAGUCACGUAAGCGGCACCA